This 379-nucleotide ribosomal RNA is filed under the name uncultured cyanobacterium. RNAcentral describes it as "bacterial SSU rRNA". It matches the Rfam family "Bacterial small subunit ribosomal RNA", at positions 376 to 770 of the family's 1533-position model. Lineage: Bacteria; Bacillati; Cyanobacteriota. The record is from RNAcentral.
CGCAAGCCUGACGGAGCAACGCCGCGUGUGGGAAGAAGGCUCUUGGGCUGUCAACCACUUUUCUCAGGGAAGAAGCCCUGACGGUACCUGAGGAAUCAGCCUCGGCUAACUCCGUGCCAGCAGCCGCGGUAAUACGGAGGAGGCAAGCGUUAUCCGGAAUUAUUGGGCGUAAAGCGUCCGCAGGGGGCACAUCAAGUCUGCUGUUAAAGGCUGGAGCUUAACUCCGGUAGAGCAGUGGAAACUGGUGUGCUAGAGGGCGACAGGGGUAGAGGGGAUUCCCAGUGUAGCGGUGAAAUGCGUAGAGAUUGGGAAGAACACCGGUGGCGAAAGCGCUCUACUGGGUCGCACCUGACCCUCAGGGACGAAAGCUAAGGUAGCG